UAUGUGAUCGUCUCUCGCAUAUCAAUAAGCGGAGGAAAAGAAACUAACAAGGAUUCCCCUAGUAACGGCGAGUGAAGCGGGAAGAGCUCAAAUUUGGAAUCUUAAAGGGUUUCCCUUUACGAAUUGUAGUUUAAAGAAGUGUUUUCUGUUGAGGUUUUGGUAAAAGUUCUUUGGAAUAGGACAUCAUAGAGGGUGAGAAUCCCGUAUUUGACCUUUACUUUCAACUUUGUGAUACACUUUCAAAGAGUCGGAUUGUUUGGGAAUGCAGUCCAAAAUGGGUGGUAAAUUUCAUCUAAAGCUAAAUAUUGGCGAGAGACCGAUAGCGAACAAGUACCGUGAGGGAAAGAUGAAAAGAACAUUGAAAAGAGAGUUAAACAGUACGUGAAAUUGUCAAAAGGGAAGCGUUUGACACCAGUGUUGUUUUUCUGAAAAUCAAUUAAAGAACUGUUUAUGCUAAGCUGUUUAGACUUUAUCAGCUAUCUGCUUAGUUUUGAGCUUUUCUUUAAUGCACUUUUCAGUUAACAAGUCAACAUCAAUUUCUUUUGCUGUAAAAAAGCUUGAGGAAGGUGGCUUGAGAUUCGUCUUAAGUGUUUAUAGCCUCUUGCCUAUGCAGUCGGAGAGAUUGAGGUCUGCAGCGUAGAUCCUUCGGGGCUAAAUGCAUUUGUGCUAAGUUAUAGCAUUUUAUAGACAACUUGUUGACUAUGAUUUGUCUUGUAGCUUACUCGCUUAUGUUAUUUUACCUACGCUUAGGAUGUUGAUCUCUCACAGUCGAGC
RNAcentral lists this ribosomal RNA (774 nucleotides) under uncultured Neocallimastigales. Its description in RNAcentral is "partial large subunit ribosomal RNA". It matches the Rfam family "Eukaryotic large subunit ribosomal RNA", at positions 24 to 645 of the family's 3401-position model. The record is from RNAcentral. Lineage: Eukaryota; Fungi; Neocallimastigomycota; Neocallimastigomycetes; Neocallimastigales.